UGUCAUGCCAAUGGCACUGCCCGGUAGCUAUGUUCGGAAUCGAUAACCGCUGAAAGCAUCUAAGCGGGAAGCGAGCCUCGAGAUAAGCUCUCACUAGCACUUUAAGUGCUCUGAAGGGUUGUUGAAGACGACGACGUUGAUAGGCGGGGUGUGGAAGCGUAGUAAUGCGUUGAGCUAACCCGUACUAAUUGCCCGUGAGACUUAACCAUACAACACCGAAG
Molecule: ribosomal RNA, 221 nt
Filed under: Idiomarina sp. H105
Lineage: Bacteria; Pseudomonadati; Pseudomonadota; Gammaproteobacteria; Alteromonadales; Idiomarinaceae
Also listed under: 1 other name
Description: partial 23S ribosomal RNA
Rfam family: Bacterial large subunit ribosomal RNA
Source: RNAcentral